Small nucleolar RNA from Dioscorea cayenensis subsp. rotundata (Guinea yam), 91 nucleotides. RefSeq annotates it as small nucleolar RNA U54. NCBI's taxonomy places the organism in Eukaryota, Viridiplantae, Streptophyta, Magnoliopsida, Dioscoreales, Dioscoreaceae. The record is from RefSeq and is a predicted model, not a curated record. The transcript has a single exon.
AGCUCGAUGAUCGAUGCCAAUUUUGUUUGGUCAUAUACGCUAUUCUGAAUAUUUAAUUGACUUGACUGUAGAUAGACAUUAUAUGAGAGCU